Molecule: RNA transcript, 3495 nt
Organism: Alosa sapidissima (American shad)
Lineage: Eukaryota; Metazoa; Chordata; Actinopteri; Clupeiformes; Clupeidae
Gene: lin9
Gene name: lin-9 DREAM MuvB core complex component
Exons: 17
Source: RefSeq, a predicted model, not a curated record
UGGGUUUUCGGUUCGAACAGCCCUCCCUGUCUGCCGCUUUCCCACAAUGCACACCGCUAGGUGCGCUUUGAAAAAGCGGCGCGGCUAAUUCAAGAUGGCGGAGAUGGAGCAGCUUUUAGAUGAGAGUUCGUCGGCCAAAGCCCUGGUCAGUCUCAGAGAGGGGAGCUUACUGAAGUCCCACAACACCAGAGGACGAAGCAAUCUGCCCACUCUGGAGACGCCCACACGGAGCUCCAAGAGAACUCGUCUGUCAUGUGAGGAGGAGGAGCGGCCGUUACCCACCCGGUCACCUAGGAGGAGCCAGAGAGUCACCACCGCCCCUCAGAAGCUGGCGGGCGUGGGGACUCCAGAUAAGAGAGCGUCUCAGAGGAUCGGCCUGCGGCUACGCAACCUGCUCAAGCUGCCCAAAGCCCACAAGUGGUGCAUCUACGAGUGGUUCUACUCCAACAUUGACAGACCGCUGUUUGAGGGAGACAAUGACUUCUGCCUGUGCCUGAAGGACUCGUUCCCCCAUCUGAAGACCAGGAAGCUCACACGUGUGGAGUGGAGCACCAUCCGCAGACUCAUGGGGAAACCCAGACGGUGUUCCUCGGCGUUCUUCGCUGAGGAGCGGACGGCGCUGAAGACGAAGCGUCAGAAGAUGCGUCUGCUGCAGCAGCGCAAGAUCACAGAUCUGUCCGUGUGUAAGGACCUGCCCGAGGAGAUCCCCUUGCCCCUCAUCAUCGGCACCAAAGUCACUGCUCGUCUGAGGGGUGUCCAUGAUGGGUUGUUCACUGGUCAGAUCGACGCCGUGGAUACGAGCGCAGCCACCUACCGCGUCACCUUCGACCGCAGCGGCCUGGGCACACACACUGUCCCUGACUAUGAAGUCCUCAGUAAUGAGCCUCAUGACACGAUGCCCAUCUCAGCGUUUGCCCAGAAGCAGAGGCCCCCACGCUUCCAGACCUUCAUGACACCCCCCCGGGGCUCCUACUCCGACUCUACACAACCCAUUCUCACGGAUGGGGACCCUCUGUUUAGCCAGUCCCCCUGGAGGAACAAGCUCACCGGCAGUGAGGGAGAGACCCUGGGAGGCUUCCCCGUCCAGCUCCUUGUCCAAGUAACGAGGCUGUCGAAAAUCCUGAUGAUCAAGAAGGAGCACAUUAAGCACCUGAAGGAGAUGAACACCCAGGUGGAGAAAAUGAAGUCGUACUCUCUGCCUGUGGGGCUGGACUUCCAGAAGAGAUACGCCACCACAGUGUUGGACCUGGAGCAGCUCAACAAAGAUCUCAACAAGGUCCUACACCAGGUGCAGCAGUUCUGCUAUGAGCUGGCCCCAGAGCAGGGCAUGCAGCCAGCAGACCAGCCCAGUGAGCUGCGGAGGCGCUGUGAGGAGGAGGGUCAGGACCUCGUACGGCUGUCCAACGAGACGCCCGACGGACACACACACGUGCAGAACCCCGGGCUCACACACCUGGUGUCCCGACUAACGGCCCUGCUGCUGCAGAUCAAGUGCUUGGCAGAGGGAGGUGAUCUGAACUCCUUUGAGUUCAAGGCGCUGACGGACUCCCUGAAUGACAUUAAGAGCUCCAUAGACGUGUCCAACCUGAGUUGUUUCCGUGAUAAUGUGGAGAUCCAUGUUGCGCACAUCCAGAGUGGUCUAAGCCAGCUGGGAAACCUGCAUGCCUUCUCAGCCAACAACACCAACACCACAUGACACACACACCAACACCACAUGACACACACACCAACUCACACAUUGGCUAUUUAUCUGAUCUCGGUGGAUGUGUGUGUGUGUGUGUGUGUGUGUGUGUGUGUGUGCGUGCGUAAGCCACAGGGCUUGUUGACCCUCAGUGUUUAGAAUGUGUGUGUGUGUGUGUGUGUGUGUGUGUGUGUGUGUGUGUGUGUGUGUGAGAGAGAGCCGUGGAGCAAUGCAUCCUCACGUCUCAAAGUGCUGAGAGAAAACCAACCAACAAACACUCUUAACACUAACUUGCCUUUCUUUAACAAGACCUCAGUCUCCGCCCUCUCACCCCAAAGAGCCUAUGAGAAGCGUACACAGAGGUGAUUGACUGUUGCACUGUCCAAUGAGGGGUGAGCGAGGAGGACUGGAGCAGGCGUGAACCUGAGGGAGUCCUUGGAAAGCGGCGUGGCUUACGAGAGAGCGAUAUGAUAUACGCGCAGAAAAGAGUUUUUACAAGCAAAUAUUUAUGAGUGUCUCGUAGGCUGCGGCCAUGUCUGUCUGUGUGUGUGUGUGUGUGUGUGUGGCGUGUGUGAAAUCCAUGCCAUUCAGUGUAUGUCAUCUCUCAAAAAGACAGUGCUCGAUUUCUGUUAGGUUUUGUUAAUUUGUUUAUCUGUGGCUGUUGAUUUUAUUUUGUGUGGGGCAGGCUGGGUUGUGGUGUGGCAGGGCUGGGUUGUGUGUGGCAGGCUGGGUUGUGUGUGUGGCCUGUGCAAAGCUACUGCAAGAUGUAUAAGUUUCCCAGCAUUUCUAACUCCUAACACCCCAUAGCCUGCCCCCCCCCCCCCCCUUUACUCUCCCUCUCUCUCUUACUCUCACACUCUUACUCUCUUCCUCUCUCUCUUUCUCCCUCUCUCUCUUUCUCUCUUACUCUCACACUCUCCCUCUCUCUCUCUCUUACUCUCACACUCUCUCUCUCUCUCUCUCUCUCUCUCUCUCUCACACUCUCUCUCUCUCUCUCUCAUCGUUACUGACUCCUCAUCCCUCUAUACUGCAUGUUGGCAGGGUUGGGAGCCCAAGAGCCUGUGUGUGUGUGUGUGUGUGUGUGUGUGUGUUUCAGUAUGGAACCUAGAAUAUGUGUUGCUGUCCAUCACACACACUCAUGUGUCCAUUAAGUGUGUGUUUAUUUAUUUGUGUGGUAUUGUGGCGCUCGGCCCUUCUGUCCUUUGGCCACACUGCUGUGGUCUCCUGUAGUUACUGAGAAACUGAGUUGGCCCACUCAGUACGUCCCCUGAGUCACUGGUUACUGAAGAUGGGCCCCCACACACACACACACACACACACACACAAUCCCCUCCCCAAACACGGCAGCAGUCAAACAAAAGGUCAACCACCUGAGGACACGUGUCCCUCCGAGGCAGUGUUUCAGAAAAACAGCUUAUUUGGUGUGUGUGUGUCCACUGUCUUGGCUUUGGCUUAUGAAAGCCGCUGUUAUCCACACACACACACCAUCCUGCCACUUUCUGUAUAUAAGAGACUUCUGAAACAUUGGAAUCGAAUUAGAGCAGGGCCAGUUAUAAAGGCUAAAUGAAGUGAGUGUGUGUGUGUGUGUGUGUGUUAACAGGAGCAGAGGCAGUGAUUGGGGGGUGGGGUUCACAGGAACAUAUGUUAAGUUGUACACAACAGUACUACUCCAGGGUUAUGGUGUUGAUUUGCAAGCCUGGACAUGAAGAUGUUUUUUGUAUUUGAUUCCUUUCACCUGUAUUGUAUAAUAAUGAGGAUGACUCUCUCUAUUUGAGCAUAUAUUUAAUCUUGAUUAAACUUAUGUUCACAUGUAA